CGCACCCGAGCGUCCGACGGCUACUAUUGUUGCAGGCAGAACUAGGGUUCAGAUAAAAAAGAUCGCCCCUCUUGUCGACUCACCCGAUUAUCGAUGGCGUGCGACGCGUGCGGCUGCGCUUGCAGCGCCGGCGGCGAAGCACCCAGGGUGGAGCUGAAAGCGCCACUGCUGGUGGAUAUCGAGACCGGACCCAGCCCCAUCACGGCGGCGCCGGCAGACAGCGAGGUCGACGACGGGAUGGAGAAGGGGCGCAUGAUCGUCACCUCCAUUGCCCGGGUACGUAUUGAUGGAUGAAGUAGCGCCGGUGAACUUACAUACAAAAAAAGGAUUGUUGCUUUUGCUGUGGUUGUAUCUGGUCGAUUUAAUGAGAAGACCUUUGAUCAAUGAUGGCGAUAGUGAAUUUAGCCCGAUACACAUAGUUUGUGUCGGUUUCCCGGCCGUACUCGUGGGCAUGGUUUUCUUGCAAAUCUGUGUGUCCAUAUCCGUUCCUACAGAUGCCUCUGGAGUUCCUAUAGGGUUUGAACUUUGAAGCAAACGGAACUUUGCGCCUUUACAUGAAAACCCAUAUGAAUUGCACUCAAACUUCUUCAAAAUACUGUGUAAAUGUUAUGCUCAUUAAGGCCUUUCCAGUUUGAACUUUGUUGAAUCAUCUCAAUGUGCCUGAUCAUUAUUUAUACAAACAUAGUACUUAACAAAUUCA
This is an RNA transcript of Triticum aestivum (bread wheat), 700 nucleotides long. RefSeq lists it as uncharacterized. Lineage: Eukaryota; Viridiplantae; Streptophyta; Magnoliopsida; Poales; Poaceae. The record is from RefSeq and is a predicted model, not a curated record. The transcript is spliced from 2 exons.